RNAcentral lists this ribosomal RNA (255 nucleotides) under uncultured bacterium. RNAcentral's name for it is "partial 16S ribosomal RNA". It matches the Rfam family "Bacterial small subunit ribosomal RNA", at positions 524 to 776 of the family's 1533-position model. The record is from RNAcentral.
UACGUAGGGCGCAAGCGUUAUCCGGAAUUAUUGGGCGUAAAGAGCUCGUAGGCGGUUUGUCGCGUCUGCCGUGAAAGUCCGGGGCUCAACUCCGGAUCUGCGGUGGGUACGGGCAGACUAGAGUGAUGUAGGGGAGACUGGAAUUCCUGGUGUAGCGGUGAAAUGCGCAGGAUAUCAGGAGGAACACCGAUGGCGAAGGCAGGGUCUCUGGGCAUUAACUGACGCUGAGGAGCGAAAGCAUGGGGAGCGAACAGG